CAGCAGCCCGAGUGGUGAUCCUUUUUAUUGGGCCUAAAGCGUCCGUAGCCGGACUAGUAAACCCUUGGGUAAAUUGGGCAGCUUAACUGUCCAAAUUCCGAGGGGACUGCUAGUCUUGGGACCGGGAGAGGUCAGAGGUACUCAAGGGGUAGGGGCUAAAUCCUGUAAUCCUUUGGGGACCACCAGUGGCGAAGGCGUCUGACUAGAACGGAUCCGACGGUAAGGGACGAAACCCUGGGGCGCGAACCGGAUUAGAUACCCGUGUAGUCC
Molecule: ribosomal RNA, 270 nt
Filed under: uncultured archaeon
Lineage: Archaea
Description: partial 16S ribosomal RNA
Rfam family: Archaeal small subunit ribosomal RNA
Source: RNAcentral